Molecule: small RNA, 88 nt
Filed under: Escherichia coli
Lineage: Bacteria; Pseudomonadati; Pseudomonadota; Gammaproteobacteria; Enterobacterales; Enterobacteriaceae
Also listed under: 3 other names
Description: partial RtT sRNA
Rfam family: RtT RNA
About the family: This family represents a bacterial cis-regulatory element known as RtT RNA. The exact function of RtT is unknown although it is thought that it may be involved in changing the cellular response in relation to amino acid starvation.
Source: RNAcentral
AUUCUGCCCAAGCGGGGAAGGAUGAGAAGCUUCGACCAAGGUUCGACUUGAGCGCCAGCGAGAGAGCGUUGCCGCAGGCAACGACCCG